RNAcentral lists this long non-coding RNA (2753 nucleotides) under Malus domestica (apple). RNAcentral's name for it is "long non-coding RNA (MDOM_LNC009117)". Lineage: Eukaryota; Viridiplantae; Streptophyta; Magnoliopsida; Rosales; Rosaceae. The record is from RNAcentral.
UUCGCUCUUCUCCCUCACCUCUCCCGUAACUCUCUUUCUCUACACUUUCCAAUCUCUCAAAACCCUAUCCUUCCCUCUCUCGCCAUGACCACUCACUCAUCCUUGCGCAUGCAUAGCCGCACCCCGCUCGAGGAAACCAUCAUCACCAUCUAAAUCUUGUUCUCUCUCUCUCUCCCUCUCAUCUUUGCGAGGUCGACAAACCCAGGAAGGAUCUCCGGCGAGUCCCUUCUAUAUUUCCGGUUAGGUAAGCCUCGGGUUUCCUUCCUUCCGUUUUAGAUUGUUGAUUGGAUGUGAUUAUUGAGUUUAUCUCAUUAUUUCAAGGUUGAGGACGAAACCAUCGCGGGGGAAGGCACACCCAACUUCACAGCGGACCCGUGUCCUUCAAGGGUUUUUCAGAGCACUCACGGCCAUUUCACGGCAAAGAAAGGGUAUGGAAAUACUCUACCCUCUUCCCUCUUCAUUUUGGUGUAUAGUUUGAACCCUAGUUUGCUAGAAAACCGCCGCCCGGAGCUGUAGCAGCUUCGGCUUUCUCCUCCGAUCACCACGUAGGCUCUUCAGGCCACCCAAAGCACCCUGGACCUUAGGCCCGUGUUUGGGCCAGCCCAAAAACACCAAAACCCAGCCCAAUUAUAAAUUUUAUUUCCUUUAUUUAUUUUGUUGACCCACUGGGCCUUAGGGCCUUUUCCUUUUAUUUGGGGCUUAAAGCCCGGUUUUUGGUAACUAGGCCUGCGGGCAGUGCCUUGUGGGUGUGUAUGGGCUGUGUGUGUUGUGUGGUAUGUCCGUGUGUGUGUGUGUGUACGUGUGUGUAAUUGCAUGAGUGCAUGCGUGUGGUGUGUGUAUGUGUAUAUGCAUGUAGUGCAUGCAUGUGCAUGCCGUGCAUGUGUGUGUUUGUGUAGUGUAUGUGUGUGUUGGUUGUGUGGCCCAAACCACCAUUUUCACCCAAAACCCUUUUAACCCAAAAACCUUAGGAUCCUAAAACCUAUUAGGGUCUAACCCAUCCAACCCAAAUCCUUUCAUUUUAUUUAAUUCAAGCCCAAAUUCUUUAGAAAACCCUUUUAUUUAUUUAUUACUAUUUUUGUGCUUAGGUGCAAUUAUUGUGGCUUUUGCAUAUUCGCUAGCUGCGCGGCUUUCGAUGGCAAAGUACUGUGAGUAGACCUCUUCUAAAAUUAUAUGAUUUUAUAGUUUAAUUGCAUAAAUGAAUAGCAUGCCGUACGAGUUUAUGAUUUGAUUUAUGUUAAGUUUGUUUAUUAAAUAUAUUGAUUUUCGUCUCGUGUUUUUGGUGAGGAAUUAACUGUUGGCCUGUAUUGAGCUGUAUUUUGGAAUAUCGUAUUUUCUAUAAAAACCAUGAACUGGUAGACUAUCUGAUGGAUGACGAUAGGAUGCUAGAACAUGUUUUAGAAACCCCUCUUUAUAGUAUAGACGAUGGAUGACUUUAUACUAUGAGGUGGUUAUUUAUGAGAGACGUAACUAUUUGUGCGUACCUAGUGGACACUAUGCUGCCUGGGGCAAGGAUCUGGUGUUGGCAGAUAGGCUGAGAGAAAUAACCCCUAGCUACGGGCUGAAGGACAUGGAGAAGGCAUUGGGCCGGGAGUUGGUAAUCUCUGGCUACAAGCGCAGAGACCACGGAGCAGGCAUUGGGCUAAGAGUUAUAUUUAUUCAGUGAUCUUUCUAGCAGCACACCGCGCUUACGAGACGAUCUAUAAGACGUUACUAUUUUGAUUUCUACGAUGUUAUUCCGCGAUAUGACUUUUAAGAUAUAUUUGGCAUGCUAGAUUUUUUAUUAAAUCCAUCACUUAUUAUGUUAGUAGUUUUCUUUAUAUAUAAACCUGGGGGUUAGUAUGUUCAUAACUGUUUUUGUAUUAUGUAUAUAUAUGAACUUGGUCCACUCACCUUUGUUUUGCGCCCCCUUUCAGGAUUUAGAAUCGAGGCAUACGAUCCCGACAUCAACGCUUUCGCAUAGGCAUAUUCGAGUCCUCUUUGGUGUAGGACCCACAUCCUUUUAUUUAUUCAAUUUUAUAUUAAUUCUUUUAGAGCUCUAGUUAGUUGUAUGCUCUGAACACGUUCCUAAAUUUUUAAUUCAUUAUAUUUUAAAUUCAUAACCUUUAUUUAUUUCUUAUUCUUAGCUUUUGUAUCAAUUAAUGGCUUUCGUCACCCUCGGGUGUCGGCCAUCAUGUGUCUAUCUUGGUAUUCGAGGAAUAUCAGGGUCGGGGCGUGCUAGUUGGAUUUUUGGAUCGCCGGGCCCCCCACUCUAACGAUACCGAUAUUGUCUCUAACCUUACCACCUACCCAAUCUGUCAAGUGUGAUGUUUUACAACAAAAAACUUCGGUAUUAGUUAGAGUAGGGUAAUCCUAUUUAAACCCCUUGGUUUUCUUUCUCACCACCGAUGUGGGACUUAAACACUCCCCCUCAUGUGUAACCCCAUUUAGUGGUUCACACGUGAAGAUCCACAUUGGUAAUUGAAACUCAGAGGUCGGCUCCAAUGGAGUCCAAACUUGUUUCCAAUGGAACUCAGCGGUCGUCUCUAUGUUAAGAGUUCAGACUUGUUUCAUUUGGUGACAAGCUCAUUGUUGGCUUGCACGGGUCCGAAUCGUGGACUCUGAUACCAUGUUGGAUUUUUGGAUCGCUGGGCCCACCCCACUCCAACGACACCGAUAUUGUCCCUAACUUUACUAGCUGCCCAAUCCGUCAGGUGUGAGGUUUUAUCACAAAAGGCUAGGGUAAUCCUAUUUAAACCCCUUGGUUUUCUUUCCCA